Molecule: ribosomal RNA, 505 nt
Filed under: uncultured bacterium
Lineage: Bacteria
Description: partial 16S ribosomal RNA
Rfam family: Bacterial small subunit ribosomal RNA
Source: RNAcentral
GACGAACGCUGGCGGCGUGCCUAAUACAUGCAAGUAGAACGCACAGUUUAUACCGUAGCUUGCUACACCAUAGACUGUGAGUUGCGAACGGGUGAGUAACGCGUAGGUAACCUGCCUGGUAGCGGGGGAUAACUAUUGGAAACGAUAGCUAAUACCGCAUAAUAUUGAUUAUUGCAUGAUAAUUGAUUGAAAGAUGCUAUUGCAUCACUACCAGAUGGACCUGCGUUGUAUUAGCUAGUAGGUGAGGUAACGGCUCACCUAGGCGACGAUACAUAGCCGACCUGAGAGGGUGAUCGGCCACACUGGGACUGGGACACGGCCCAGACUCCUACGGGAGGCAGCAGUAGGGAAUCUUUGGCAAUGGACGAAAGUCUGACCGAGCAAAGCCGCGGGAGUGAAGAAGGGUUUCGGAUCGGAAAGCUCUGUUGUAAGAGAAGAAAGGGUGUGAGAGUGGAAAGUUCACACUGUGACGGUAUCUUACCAGAAAGGGACGGCUAACUACGUG